This 1343-nucleotide ribosomal RNA is filed under the name uncultured bacterium. RNAcentral describes it as "16S ribosomal RNA". It matches the Rfam family "Bacterial small subunit ribosomal RNA", at positions 28 to 1378 of the family's 1533-position model. The record is from RNAcentral.
GACGAACGCUGGCGGCGUGCUUAACACAUGCAAGUCGAACGGAAAGGCCCUGCUUUUGUGGGGUGCUCGAGUGGCGAACGGGUGAGUAACUCGUGAGUAACCUGCCCUUGACUUUGGGAUAACUUCAGGAAACUGGGGCUAAUACCGGAUAGGAGCUCCUGCUGCAUGGUGGGGGUUGGAAAGUUUCGGCGGUUGGGGAUGGACUCGCGGCUUAUCAGCUUGUUGGUGGGGUAGUGGCUUACCAAGGCUUUGACGGGUAGCCGGCCUGAGAGGGUGACCGGCCACAUUGGGACUGAGAUACGGCCCAGACUCCUACGGGAGGCAGCAGUGGGGAAUAUUGCACAAUGGGCGGAAGCCUGAUGCAGCAACGCCGCGUGCGGGAUGACGGCCUUCGGGUUGUAAACCGCUUUCGCCUGUGACGAAGCGUGAGUGACGGUAAUGGGUAAAGAAGCACCGGCUAACUACGUGCCAGCAGCCGCGGUGAUACGUAGGGUGCGAGCGUUGUCCGGAUUUAUUGGGCGUAAAGGGCUCGUAGGUGGUUGAUCGCGUCGGAAGUGUAAUCUUGGGGCUUAACCCUGAGCGUGCUUUCGAUACGGGUUGACUUGAGGAAGGUAGGGGAGAAUGGAAUUCCUGGUGGAGCGGUGGAAUGCGCAGAUAUCAGGAGGAACACCAGUGGCGAAGGCGGUUCUCUGGGCCUUUCCUGACGCUGAGGAGCGAAAGCGUGGGGAGCGAACAGGCUUAGAUACCCUGGUAGUCCACGCUGUAAACGGUGGGUACUAGGUGUGGGGUCCAUUCCACGGGUUCCGUGCCGUAGCUAACGCUUUAAGUACCCCGCCUGGGGAGUACGGCCGCAAGGCUAAAACUCAAAGGAAUUGACGGGGCCCCGCACAAGCGGCGGAGCAUGCGGAUUAAUUCGAUGCAACGCGUAGAACCUUACCUGGGUUUGACAUGGAUCGGGAGUGCUCAGAGAUGGGUGUGCCUCUUUUGGGGUCGGUUCACAGGUGGUGCAUGGCUGUCGUCAGCUCGUGUCGUGAGAUGUUGGGUUAAGUCCCGCAACGAGCGCAACCCUUGUUCACUGUUGCCAGCACGUUAUGGUGGGGACUCAGUGGAGACCGCCGGGGUCAACUCGGAGGAAGGUGGGGAUGACGUCAAGUCAUCAUGCCCCUUAUGUCCAGGGCUUCACGCAUGCUACAAUGGCUGGUACAGAGAGUGGCGAGCCUGUGAGGGUGAGCGAAUCUCGGAAAGCCGGUCUCAGUUCGGAUUGGGGUCUGCAACUCGACCUCAUGAAGUCGGAGUCGCUAGUAAUCGCAGAUCAGCAACGCUGCGGUGAAUACGUUCCCGGG